AAACGAAUGCAGGACUGACGGGAUAAAGUGGAACAACCACGUGGACUGCAGGGAAUAAAGAAGCGCCGACCGUCUGGGCAAGAGUA
Molecule: non-coding RNA, 86 nt
Filed under: Megasphaera cerevisiae
Lineage: Bacteria; Bacillati; Bacillota; Negativicutes; Veillonellales; Veillonellaceae
Also listed under: 1 other name
Description: ZTP sequence
Rfam family: ZMP/ZTP riboswitch aptamer (pfl RNA motif)
About the family: Previously known as pfl RNA. ZMP is also known as AICAR.
Source: RNAcentral